GAAUCCCGUAUAUGGCAUGGACUACCGUUACUCUGUGAUACACUCUCGACGAGUCGAGUUGUUUGGGAAUGCAGCUCCMAAUGGGUGGUAAAUGCCAUCUAAAGCUAAAUAUUGGCGAGAGACCGAUAGCGAACAAGUACCGUGAGGGAAAGAUGAAAAGCACUUUGGAAAGAGAGUGAAACAGUACGUGAAAUUGUUGAAAGGGAAACGCUUGAAGUCAGUCGCGCCGUUCGGGAUUCAGCCUUGCUUCUGCUCGGUUUACUUCCCGUUGGGUGGGUCAACAUCAGUUUUGGUCGGAGGAGAAAGGCUUGGGGAAGGUGGCAGCAUUCGUGCUGUGUUAUAGCCCCUUGUUGUAUACUUCGACUGGGACUGAGGACCGCAGCACGCCUUUGGCCGGGGUUCGCCCACGUACGUGCUUAGGAUGUUGGCAUAAUGGCUUUAAGCGACCCGUCUUGAAACACGGACCAAGGAGUCUAACAUGUGCGCGAGUGUUUGAGUGUUAAACUCAGACGCGAAAUGAAAGUGAAAAGUUGGGAACACUCAUGUGUGCACCGACGCCCGGAGCUGACCUUCUGUGACGCAUCUGCGGUAGAGCGUAUAUGUUGGGACCCGAAAGAUGGUGAACUAUGCCUGAAUAGGGUGGAGCCAGAGGAAACUCUGGUGGAGGCUCGUAGCGAUUCUGACGUGCAAAUCGAUCGUCAAAUUUGGGUAUAGGGGCGAAAGACUAAUCGAACCAUCUAGUAGCUGGUUCCUGCC
RNAcentral lists this ribosomal RNA (756 nucleotides) under uncultured Sebacina. RNAcentral's name for it is "partial 28S ribosomal RNA". It matches the Rfam family "Eukaryotic large subunit ribosomal RNA", at positions 216 to 962 of the family's 3401-position model. The record is from RNAcentral. Lineage: Eukaryota; Fungi; Basidiomycota; Agaricomycetes; Sebacinales; Sebacinaceae.